GGAAGUCAUAGAUUCGUAUAACUUUACCACAAAUAAUAUAAACUUCAAACCUCGCAUUUUCAUUUAAUGUUUUUAGCAAGUGGCAGCUUUUGUUAUGACAGCCUUGUUCAAAUGACAUGUUCAUAUGGCCUUGCGACAUCAACCACGCAUCACAUCACAUUACAUCAUAUCACAUCUCAACACAACAGAUACAACCCACACCACUACACACGCACGCAUUAUACACAGAAUCUAACACCGCUCAUCGUACGACACAACAACCACACGAUCAUCAACGAAUCGAGUGUGGUAAUCACCACCCAAAUCAUUAAAAGGGAUUGAUCCCAACGGGAUCACUCUCAUUCGAUUUCAUCCGUGAACCAGAAGGUUUGGUAACUUUUCGAGUUCGACAUCCUUUACGUUUCUACAUAUCGUGUUACCAACUCGCAGUCGUAUUCCUACCUGGAGCAAUCUUUUCGCGCGCUGUGUGUGUGUGUGGUUAACCAUCCCAACAUUUACUUAUUCAUUUUAAAAUUGUAAUAAACGAAUUAUCCUCCAUCAAGGAGAAGUGCAACUUAUUAAAUUUAAGAAUAAAAUUUUAUAACGUUUUCAAAAUAUUGUGUGUUUGCCCUUUUUAAAGUCUGGUGAUAAUUCCAUAAAAAUGGACGUAGAAGACAGACCAAGUGGCCCCAAAGCUGUUAGGUCCGAAAUAGUUGCUCCCGUCGCUGCUCCGAGGACACUAAUGAGUACGGGACCACCAUCCGCUACCGCAGCUGGAGAAAGAGGCGAAGAGCAGCCAAGAGAAAACCGGGUUUAUCCACGGUGCAGCCUGUGCCAUCGCCCUCACGUCCUUAAAAGGUGUUCCAUAUUCCAGAGCAUGAAGCCCGCUCAAAGACAACAGGUUGCAAGAGCCCACGGGCAUUGCAUGACCUGCUUGGCAGAUGACCACGCCACCAUAGAAUGCUGGGCUGACGGCGCAUGUCAAUACUGCCAACUGCCGCAUCACACUCUAUUCCACCGAUUUCCCAGGCGAGCCAACCCGUCAUCAAAUCAUAUCAACACACGGCACAGACCCCACAGCAACCCAAUCCAACGACGACGAGCCCAUCGCACUAGAUCAACCACUGCACGCUCGCGGCCAUCUCCGCCACGCCACACUCAUCGCCAACAACAACGACGUUCAACAGGGUUGAAAGCUGUAGUCGACACGCUGCAACAGCUGCAGAGGCUCCUAGGC
Molecule: long non-coding RNA, 1216 nt
Organism: Zeugodacus cucurbitae (melon fly)
Lineage: Eukaryota; Metazoa; Arthropoda; Insecta; Diptera; Tephritidae
Exons: 2
Source: RefSeq, a predicted model, not a curated record